UACGAACUGGGCGAACGUUAUUCGGAAUCACUGGGCUUACAGGGUGCGUAGGCGGCGAUAAAAGUCAGGUGUGAAAGCCCCCGGCUCAACCGGGGAAUUGCGCUUGAAACUUUAUUGCUUGAGUGGGCUAGAGGCAUGCGGAACUUCCGGUGGAGCGGUGAAAUGCGUUGAUAUCGGAAGGAACACCAGAGGCGAAAGCGGCAUGCUGGGGCCUGUCUGACGCUGAGGCACGAAAGCCAGGGGAGCAAACGGG
RNAcentral lists this ribosomal RNA (253 nucleotides) under uncultured bacterium. RNAcentral describes it as "partial 16S ribosomal RNA". It matches the Rfam family "Bacterial small subunit ribosomal RNA", at positions 524 to 776 of the family's 1533-position model. The record is from RNAcentral.